This 405-nucleotide long non-coding RNA is filed under the name Selaginella moellendorffii. RNAcentral describes it as "long non-coding RNA (SMOE_LNC001924)". Lineage: Eukaryota; Viridiplantae; Streptophyta; Lycopodiopsida; Selaginellales; Selaginellaceae. The record is from RNAcentral.
ACGCUCUUGCGCGCGAUGGACAGCUCCAGCGGGAUGAUCCCGUGGAGGCCGCCGGGGCCGGAUUACGAGCCCAGCCCCAAGGUGCGGCGUGAGGAGAUGGUUGUGAAGCGCUUCGCCGAGGAGAAGAAGCGCCAGGUAUGAGUGAUCGCCGGUGUCCAGGCCAUUGCCUGAGAGAAAUGUGGUACUCCAGGAGAAAGCGCGGGAUGCGUAUCAUAGGAUGAAGCUCGCGACUGCCCUUGAGAUGAGAGAGCGGCAGCACAAGAUCAUUUAUGAUGUGAGAAGAUCUUCUUUGCACGCUUCUCCAGCUCGACUUCUCCUGUGAUUUCAUUCCAGGAGUUCCAAAAGAAGCUGGAAAAGAGCCGGUUACAAAAGACAUAUAACUUCGCUGUCUAUGCUCACUUAAAG